Molecule: ribosomal RNA, 321 nt
Filed under: Triticum aestivum (bread wheat)
Lineage: Eukaryota; Viridiplantae; Streptophyta; Magnoliopsida; Poales; Poaceae
Description: partial small subunit ribosomal RNA
Source: RNAcentral
AUGUUCACCAGGAGAGGAGGCCCCACAUCCACCAGGAGAGGAGGCCCGCGACCUCCCCACCGUCUAUCCCCGCCUCCCCCAAGCUCGCUGUCUCUGCCCUCCGUCGUCUCCGCUCCGUCCACCACCUCAUCGUGGUCAGGACUCUGUUUUGUGUUGACCAUGAAUCACUGUGAAAAAUGCUCUUGUCAAGGUGAAAUCACUAUGAAAAAUUCUCUUGUCAAGGUGAAAUCUAAGCAGUACUGUACUGGCAAGAAAAAAAGGAUAAAAGACAAAAAUUAUUGUCAUCUAGGAAGGGGUCGUAUGGAACCGCAGAACUGUUAA